GCGUCACACAUUUUCAGUAUUCGUUGAAACAGUGCGGCGUCUAACGUGAAAUUCUUAGUCCCAAGAUUUUCAGUCCUGUUUCACCACCAAUCAAAUAAAGUUCCCGGGUUACUAAUGGUUGCAACGUUCGUACUUUCCACAAAUAACGACUUUAACUUAGCUAAUCGAUCACUUGUUUCUCACGUCACGUUGAUGCAUAAUUCACGACCAGCUCUCAUAGAAAUUUAAACCAUUGCCCAAAUGACAUUAGUCACGCGUGUCUGUCCUAAACUCUUCUUCAUAUUGUUAAUUCGGGUAGAUUGAUUAUUGAUUUGUAAAACAGUAUCACCAUUUUUAGUCAAAUUGAUAUUGAACAGGCACUUGCAUCGUGAUGAAAUGACUCCUUGUAGUCUAGGGUGUGGUGGGGAUGGCUGCAGUACGUGUAACCUCUCUUACACGCCGACCAUUCAAUAUGGUUUGUCAACAGUACAACGCCCUAUUAAUUCAACAAUUGAUUAAUCUAUUUCCUUGUCAAAGAACCCAGUAUAUCUUGCGCUAUAAAGCGACGAUGGGCUUGAAUGUCCGCGAACGGACAUAAGAACUUGUUUUCCUUCAUUGCUGUUUGAAAGGUUCCAAGACUAUCAAUGGCGAAUGAUCUCUUCCGAUCUCUGUCACCUGUUUUCUGGUUUUUGCGUGUAACGGGUGGAACGCCGUUCUUUCACAGCGAGUCGUCAGCUGGAAUUUUGGGUUUUCGUUGGUGUCAUCCGCAGACUUUCUGGUUUGCUUUCGUCACCCUCGUUCAUCUGAGCUUCAUCUCGGCCCAAGUGUUUGGAGGCCUUUUUACUUUGAAAGACGAUUCCACAACAGUUGAUGAUUCCAACAUCAACCAUUUGAAUAUUCGUUUAACUCACACUAUCUCGCAGGCCCGCUUUCUCAUAGAUACGUUUUUCUUAUCCAAAUUUAUUCACUUUCAUUUGGCCAGUUUUCAAAAUUUCUUUGAGAACUUGAAUUGUGUCGACUUUGUUUCGCCAAUAGCUUUCGCUGAUGUCCAACGAGCUCGCAAAAUAAUUGUCAUUGGAAUCUCUGUUAACCUUUCUUGGCAUGUAACGUUCUUGAUCUACGGAUUCAACAGCCUUUUUCAAGUGCAUCUAAAAGAGCCCAGUUGGAUGCUGAUCGUUCGAAUAUUGAAUAACUUGAUGCACACUCUCGGCCAAUUGCAUUCCAACAUGAUAGUGAUUCAGUUUGCCAGUUUAUGCUACAUGGUUGGUCUUCGUUUUGCUGGUCUCACAAAAACGUUGCAGCAGAUUAUCGUUACGGACGGCACGUUCCGUCAUACGUGUAACGGAUGGACAAAUCUCGCCCCGGAAUCGCCAAAUAAAAAUCCGCCUAACACUCGUACUUCGGCGCAAAAUCAAGUACUUCCUGACGAAUCGUUGUCGGAUGUCGAUCGACCUGUUACAGCCAUGGAAGAAUUACGUUGUCGAAGUUUCUUUCUUUUCAGUCCUUUGACUUUGCGUUUAGUUUUCCUGAAAACGAUUUACUUGACGCUGUGCGGGACAGUGUUGACUCAUUUCAACAAAGCCUUUGGAUUGUCUUUGCUGUUCUAUCUGAUCUCCAAAUUGAUCAGCACUUCGAUAGGAUGUCAUGGAUUUUUGCAUGACUUGAUGCAUCUGUCUGUUGGCUUCUUUUGGGUUUUUUUUAAUGUUCCGGACAUCACGGGCAUUUUUGUCCUAUUUCAAUCUGCUGAUUACGUCCGUGGCGAGGUGAAAAAGUUCUUUAGUUCAGUGGCCAAAAUUUCGACGCAAGAUCUAUCAAUAGUGGAACGCAGUGAAUUACAAACUUUCAUUUUGCAAGUGCAAGGGGAGUCUAUUGAAUUAUCCGUCUGCGGACUCUUUAAAUUGGGCAAGCAACUACUCCCAGCGGUUGCCGGGACGAUAGCUACCUACAUGUUGGUCCUAUUCCAGUUCAAUCAAUAGAGGAACCACUCGCCAUCUACUUUUUCUCGCAGCUAAUCAUCCACUUCAGCAAGUCAGAGGAGACUAUGGUAAGAUUCCAAACUGGUGUGGAACACGAGAAACAACUUCAGUGUGCGGAUUGCUGGCCGUUUGUAAAGAACCCUACGCUUGUAUUCGUAAUAAAAUAAAUCUGUCUAACCUGGGUUGCGCAAAGAAUGGGAGGGGGGGAUCUCAACUGGGUUAUCGUCAAAAGUUAUGGUACUCGUUGGGGAAUGUUCCCUGCGCUGGGCUCUUUCCAAAACGAAGUUAUCUGAAUGGUAAAUCAAUACACUUUUGGCUCGUGAACCA
RNAcentral lists this unclassified non-coding RNA (2282 nucleotides) under Daphnia magna. RNAcentral's name for it is "uncharacterized LOC116915720, transcript variant X3". The record is from RNAcentral. Lineage: Eukaryota; Metazoa; Arthropoda; Branchiopoda; Diplostraca; Daphniidae.